AGUCAGUCGUGUUCUUUGGAUUCAGCCAGUUCUGCUGGUCUACUUCCUUGGAACGGGUCAACAUCAGUUUUGUCCGGUGGAUAAAGGUAGUAGGAAUGUGACUUCUCCGGAAGUGUUAUAGCCUAUUAUCACAUACACUGGGUGAGACUGAGGACUGCAGCUCGCCUUUAUGGCCGGCCUUCGGGCACGUUCGAGCUUAGGAUGUUGACAUAAUGGCUUUAAACGACCCGUCUUGA
RNAcentral lists this ribosomal RNA (236 nucleotides) under Trichosporon beigelii. RNAcentral's name for it is "partial 28S rRNA". Lineage: Eukaryota; Fungi; Basidiomycota; Tremellomycetes; Trichosporonales; Trichosporonaceae. The record is from RNAcentral.